Long non-coding RNA from Mastomys coucha (southern multimammate mouse), 507 nucleotides. RefSeq lists it as uncharacterized. The transcript is spliced from 2 exons. The record is from RefSeq and is a predicted model, not a curated record. Lineage: Eukaryota; Metazoa; Chordata; Mammalia; Rodentia; Muridae.
GAUGACAUUGGUAAGGAAAAAGGACAGACUAAAUGUUCUUAACACAUGUAUGCCUUACCUCGUUGGCAAUUGCAGAAUGUUGACUUUAGAAUCACAGCAUCACAGACUAUAGAAUCUCUUCCACUUUUCAAACAAACAAGCUGAGUGAAAAGUCGAGGGGGUUAUCAAAGCCAUGGGGCAGGGACCAAAAGAGGGAAUGUGGAUGUGGCAGCUCUACUAGUUCUGUGUUUUAUUCUGAAUUUCAGAGAUCAGAGACAGGAUGCAUUCUCAUCCAGGGACUUACAGUCAAUUCUACAGGCCCUCCUGGAAGUGUAUUGUAUUGCAACGGAGUCUCCCUAGACUGUAUAAAACCCCUCUUUCUAGAAGAUUUUCAGGCAGCCUUUUGUGUUCCAGAAAUAUCCAGAAAACAUGUAUGCAGGAGAAACAUGCACCAUGAGUUUAUCGAUGUAAUCAGGUGAAGUGUGUUAAAACAAAAAAAAUAAAAGAAUUACCUUGCUGAGUACAGAG